Molecule: long non-coding RNA, 720 nt
Organism: Vombatus ursinus (common wombat)
Lineage: Eukaryota; Metazoa; Chordata; Mammalia; Diprotodontia; Vombatidae
Source: Ensembl
AAGACACAGUAUUUGACUCCAGUCAUCUGGGUGUGACUCAAUCUUUGCAUUUCUUCCCCCACAGCGAUUUUCUAUUGGCUCUAACAGUUGCUUCACCUAGCAUCCAAUUAGCAAACUCACACUAGGAGCUCGGAAGACCUUUUGAAGAGCCGGAGAAAAGUCAACUGGGUCACCAAGAUUAGAAAUGAAAAUGUAUGACUUCAAACCCCAACAAGAAUUUCUAUUGUCUGAAGACAUUUUUAGACAAAGGACUUAACAGGUGUCAGGAAGACCCUACUGAAAUGACUUAACAACAACCUUCUCAUCUUUGGUCUCCAUAUGGACAUGUAGAAGUCCUGCCCUCACUACUGGAUCCCUGGGGCUCAUUGAGGAACAUGUUACCAGCAAUGAUAUACGCUGCAAGAUUCUUGUUUAUGGUUUUUCAUUACUCCUCCACAGAAGACCUACCCAGCACAUUGGUAGCCUUCCACUGUUCUUUCUACAUUUUGUGGGCACCAGAGCAGCACUAGGACUGUCCAUCUAUUAUCUCUCAGUUUCAAUCCACAUAAUGUAUUUCAUUAUAAAAGGCCCCAUUUUCUUUUCCAGUCCUAUAUUCCUGACAAUGUCUUUUAGGUCAGUUCUUGAAUAAAAAUAUCACUUACAAUGUGCUACUCAUGCCUAUCACGAGACUCACAAAACCCAAUAUAAACCAAUAAAAAAUUCAAAAUCAAAAUAGGUUCA